Non-coding RNA from Schistosoma haematobium, 45 nucleotides. NCBI's taxonomy places the organism in Eukaryota, Metazoa, Platyhelminthes, Trematoda, Strigeidida, Schistosomatidae. The record is from Rfam.
AUCCAUCUGAUGAAUCCAAAUUAGGACGAAAUGCGCGUCCUAGAU